This 101-nucleotide non-coding RNA is filed under the name Paracoccus methylarcula. RNAcentral's name for it is "Methylarcula marina TPP riboswitch aptamer (THI element)". It matches the Rfam family "TPP riboswitch aptamer (THI element)". From Rfam's summary of the family: Vitamin B(1) in its active form thiamin pyrophosphate (TPP) is an essential coenzyme that is synthesised by coupling of pyrimidine and thiazole moieties in bacteria. The previously detected thiamin-regulatory element, thi box was extended, resulting in a new, highly conserved RNA secondary structure, the THI element, which is widely distributed in eubacteria and also occurs in some archaea. Analysis of operon structures identified a large number of new candidate thiamin-regulated genes, mostly transporters, in various prokaryotic organisms. The record is from Rfam by way of RNAcentral. RNAcentral also lists the same sequence under 1 other name. Lineage: Bacteria; Pseudomonadati; Pseudomonadota; Alphaproteobacteria; Rhodobacterales; Paracoccaceae.
GCGGAUACCUCGGGGGGCCCGUUCGGGCUGAGACGCGUGAUCGCGGACCCGUUGAACCUGAUCCGGUUGACCCCGGCGGAGGGAAGGUUUCGCUGCCCUUU